CAGCAGCCGCGGUAAUACGUAGGGUGCGAGCGUUAAUCGGAAUUACUGGGCGUAAAGCGUGCGCAGGCGGUUCGUUAAGACAGAUGUGAAAUCCCCGGGCUUAACCUGGGAAUGGCAGUGGAUACUGGCAAGCUAGAGUGUGUCAGAGGAUGGUGGAAUUCCCGGUGUAGCGGUGAAAUGCGUAGAGAUCGGGAGGAACAUCAGUGGCGAAGGCGGCCAUCUGGGACAACACUGACGCUGAGGCACGAAAGCGUGGGGAGCAAACAGGAUUAGAUACCCCCGUAGUCCCUGUCUCUUAUAC
RNAcentral lists this ribosomal RNA (301 nucleotides) under uncultured bacterium. RNAcentral's name for it is "partial 16S ribosomal RNA". It matches the Rfam family "Bacterial small subunit ribosomal RNA", at positions 509 to 807 of the family's 1533-position model. The record is from RNAcentral.